Long non-coding RNA from Larimichthys crocea (large yellow croaker), 461 nucleotides. RefSeq lists it as uncharacterized. Lineage: Eukaryota; Metazoa; Chordata; Actinopteri; Sciaenidae. The transcript has 2 exons. The record is from RefSeq and is a predicted model, not a curated record.
AGUAGGUUGGGUCAAGACGUGUGUGCACACAUCAUUUGACUAUAAAUCAAAUCUAACAGGGAGAGACCAACCCUCUGCUCUGAACAUCAGUGGUGGGAACUCAGAAUCUUAAUGAAGGAGACUCUGUGGACAUUCCUGUGGGAAUCCUCUGCUAUGAGGACACCAGCCCAGCAAGCCCAGCAAGCCCAGCAUCGCCACAACUAAACCCAUCAAGAGUGGGGAUCAUCCUGAGGGCAGCCUUCUAAUGGAAGCACUCACCAACCUACCUCAGGCAAUGUGCCUCUUGCUUGGCUUUACCUACCCACUCUACCUGCAGUACCUGAAAUGCUUAAAAAACAGGUAAUGCUAAAUUUGGGUGAAAGUGAACUACCUCCCAAAGAUCAAAAGCUCAAGAAUGAUCUUGCUGAUUGUUAAUACAUAUUUGUUGCUUUGUUGUGUUUAAAUAAAAUAAAGAAAAUGUA